RNAcentral lists this ribosomal RNA (490 nucleotides) under uncultured bacterium. RNAcentral describes it as "partial 16S ribosomal RNA". It matches the Rfam family "Bacterial small subunit ribosomal RNA", at positions 30 to 507 of the family's 1533-position model. The record is from RNAcentral.
AUUGAACGCUGGCGGCAGGCCUAACACAUGCAAGUCGAACGGUAACAGGAAGAAGCUUGCUUCUUUGCUGACGAGUGGCGGACGGGUGAGCAAUGUCUGGGAAACUGCCUGAUGGAGGGGGAUAACUACUGGAAACGGUAGCUAAUACCGCAUAACGUCGCAAGACAAAAAAGGGGGACCUUCGGGCCUCUUGCCAUCGGAUGUGCCCAGAUGGGAUUAGCUAGGAGGUGGGGUAACGGCUCACCUAGGCGACGGUCCCUAGCUGGUCUGAGAGGAUGCCCACGCACACUGGAACUGGGCCGCCGUCCAGACACCUAGGCGUGGCAGCAGUGGGGAAUGUUGCAGAAAGGGCGCAAGCCUGAUGCAGACACACCGCGCAUAUGACGAAAGUCUCCGGGUUGUAAAGUACUUUCAGCGGGGAGGAAGGAAGUAAACUUAAUAGCUUCACUCAUUAGCGUUACCCGCAGAAGAAGCCCCGGCUCACUCCGUG